UACGGAGGGUGCAAGCGUUAAUCGGAAUUACUGGGCGUAAAGCGCGCGUAGGCGGCUUUGUAAGUCGGAUGUGAAAGCCCCGGGCUUACCCUGGGAAUUGCAUUCGAUACUGCAUAGCUAGAGUACGGUAGAGGAGAGUGGAAUUCCCGGUGUAGCAGUGAAAUGCGUAGAGAUCGGGAGGAACAUCAGUUGCGAAGGCGGCUCUCUGGACCAGUACUGACGCUGAGGCACGAAAGCGUGGGGAGCAAACAGG
This 253-nucleotide ribosomal RNA is filed under the name uncultured bacterium. Its description in RNAcentral is "partial 16S ribosomal RNA". It matches the Rfam family "Bacterial small subunit ribosomal RNA", at positions 524 to 776 of the family's 1533-position model. The record is from RNAcentral.